Molecule: ribosomal RNA, 301 nt
Filed under: uncultured bacterium
Lineage: Bacteria
Description: partial 16S ribosomal RNA
Rfam family: Bacterial small subunit ribosomal RNA
Source: RNAcentral
CAGCAGCCACGGUAAUACGAAGGGGGCUAGCGUUGCUCGGAAUGACUGGGCGUAAAGGGCGCGUAGGCGGCGAUCAAAGUCAGGCGUGAAAUUCCUGGGCUCAACCUGGGGGCUGCGUUUGAUACUUGAUUGCUAGAGUGGGGAAGAGGGUCGUGGAAUUCCCAGUGUAGAGGUGAAAUUCGUAGAUAUUGGGAAGAACACCGGUGGCGAAGGCGGCGACCUGGUCCUUGACUGACGCUGAGGCGCGAAAGCGUGGGGAGCAAACAGGAUUAGAUACCCCUGUAGUCCCUGUCUCUUAUAC